AUUCUGCCCAUGCGGGGAAGGAUGAGAAGCUUCGACUAAGGUUCGCCUCGAGCGCCAGCGAGAGAGCGUUGCCGCAGGCAACGACCCGUAGGGCGAAGCGCGCAGCGCUGAGUAAUCCUUCCCCCACCACCA
Molecule: small RNA, 132 nt
Filed under: Escherichia coli
Lineage: Bacteria; Pseudomonadati; Pseudomonadota; Gammaproteobacteria; Enterobacterales; Enterobacteriaceae
Description: RtT sRNA
Rfam family: RtT RNA
About the family: This family represents a bacterial cis-regulatory element known as RtT RNA. The exact function of RtT is unknown although it is thought that it may be involved in changing the cellular response in relation to amino acid starvation.
Source: RNAcentral